AUGAAGGCCUGCCUGGGAGCUCGGGUCCUGCUGCUGCCGCCCAGGAGGAGAACUUGUGUAAGGGGAAGCUUGGGGCCACCCUGGGGAGGAGGCGGGCCCAGAGAAUGUGGGUGGGCCAUUGAGGCUGGGGAUGGGCGGGAGAGGACUCUGGGCCUGGGUGUGAGACAGCAUCUGAUACCAUGUGGCCUUGGAACAUCACUGACCCUCUCUGGGCUCCUGCCAUGGAAGAUCUCAAGGGAUCUUGGCAAGAGAUGGGACCACCUUGUUUUGUCCCCACCAGAUGCCAUCAUGAAAGACAUAGAGCCUGAAGACAGACAGCUGGACAGCCAGGCUGUGGUCUCUGAAGACCCUCAAGAUGGGACCUAUGCCCAAGUCAACUGCUUGGUCUCUGAGGACCCUGAAGAUGUGACCUAUGCCCAGCUCAACUGCUUGACCCUCAGGCGGGAGACCAGCGGACCCCCAUCCUCCCAAGCAGAGGACCCUGCAGCAGAGCCUAGUGUGUAUGCGUCACUGGCCAUCCACUAACCCAGGCAGGUCCCUCACGCCAUACUCCAGGGGUCUGGAAGGCAGAGGAGCUGCCCACAGUGAGUGCUACCUGACCCCAGCCAGCCUGAAGGUGGGACAAGGAUGACUACUGGGACCUUCUGGAAAUUGUUCUAGGAAUUCCCAUCAUUACACAGCCCAUCUUACAGUUCCUGUAAGGGACCCUGCCCACUGCAAGGAUUCCACCUCAAGUGCCAACCCUGGGUAUGGGGGCAGGGCAGGACCUACCAACCAGCACUAGGAUGCAAGGACUCAGGAACACCCCCAAAGCCACAAGACUGACUCAUGGACAGCAGCUGCAGCCCAGGAGUUGCUCAAGGCCAAGGGCUUCUCAUUUCCUGAGACCAAGGCCUUUCUUCUCCUUCCAGAAGUAGAGAAAGGGAAGCCCAUCUCCCUCCUGGCCAGAUGCAGGGGGAGGGAAACAGGGCACCUUCAAUGUCCCCUUCCCAUAGGCCACUCACUAGGACUUACCCAUUUCCAAACCACACCAGAAUGAGUUAAGCCAGCCAAUCUUCUCCAAGGCUCCCUACCAAGAACCAACUACACUAGUUCAUUUCCACCAGUGACCCAGGUUCAGCUCUGCCCUCCCACCCAACAUUAACCCAUGACCUCCCCUGCUACUUCCUGUUUGGAAAGGACUCCACUGGACUCCAAUGCAAAUAGCUGGCUUGUCACCAGUCUCCCCACCGAAGUGGGGUCUAUGCCUCCUGCCCCAACCAGGACUGCCAGCUGGCAGGCUCCCCAGGCCCCUCUAAACAAGAGGGGGUGCUCCAAGUGUCAACUUGCUGGUUCAAGGAAGCCUGGUGAGGGACCCAGCCUGGGCUUUUCCUAACACAGAAGCCUGUGUGUUCAGAGAAGGAGGAGAGACAGACACCAAUAAACACCAGUUCCAAGGGUUGAUUCUGUUUUAUUUUCUGACUAGAAAACCAGGCAAUCCG
Molecule: long non-coding RNA, 1481 nt
Filed under: Suricata suricatta (meerkat)
Lineage: Eukaryota; Metazoa; Chordata; Mammalia; Carnivora; Herpestidae
Description: lncRNA (ENSSSUG00005017021.1)
Source: RNAcentral